This 314-nucleotide unclassified non-coding RNA is filed under the name uncultured Tomentella. RNAcentral's name for it is "sequence contains ITS2". Lineage: Eukaryota; Fungi; Basidiomycota; Agaricomycetes; Thelephorales; Thelephoraceae. The record is from RNAcentral.
AACGCACCUUGCGCCCUUUGGCUAUUCCAGAGGGCAUGCCUGUUUGAGUAUCAUGAACACCUCAACUCUCACGGUUUGCCGUGAUGAGCUUGGACUUUGGAGGUCUUGCCGGCCUGUGGUUGGCUCCUCUCAAAUGAAUCAGCUUGCCAGUGUUUGGUGGCAUCCCAGGUGUGAUAACUAUCUACGCUUGUGGCUUUCCACCAGGUAACCUUCAGCGAUGGAGGUUCGCUGGGGCUCACAAAUGUCUCUCCUAAGUGAGGACGGCUUCUUGAAUGUUUGAUCUCAAAUCAGGUAGGGCUACCCGCUGAACUUAA